Long non-coding RNA from Acipenser ruthenus (sterlet), 2124 nucleotides. RefSeq lists it as uncharacterized. NCBI's taxonomy places the organism in Eukaryota, Metazoa, Chordata, Actinopteri, Acipenseriformes, Acipenseridae. The record is from RefSeq and is a predicted model, not a curated record. The transcript has 3 exons.
UCUCUCUCUCUCUAGGAGCUGUUCUGCGUGUGCGGGGCUCUGAAGAGGGUGAAGCUGUAUUAAUCUCUCUCUCCUCUCUCUCUCUAGGAGCUGUUCUGCGUGUGCGGGGCUCUGAAGAGGGUGAAGCUGUAUUAAUCUCUCUCUCCUCUCUCUCUCUAGGAGCUGUUCUGCGUGUGCGGCUCUGAAGAGGGUGAAGCUGUAUUAAUCUCUCUCUCCUCUCUCUCUCUAGGAGCUGUUCUGCGUGUGCGGGGCUCUGAAGAGGGUGAAGCUGUAUUAAUCUCUCUCUCCUCUCUCUCUCUAGGAGCUGUUCUGCGUGUGCGGGGCUCUGAAGAGGGUGAAGCUGUAUUAAUCUCUCUCUCCUCUCUCUCUCUAGGAGCUGUUCUGCGUGUGCGGGGCUCUGAAGAGGGUGAAGCUGUAUUAAUCUCUCUCUCCUCUCUCUCUCUAGGAGCUGUUCUGCGUGUGCGGGGCUCUGAAGAGGGUGAAGCUGUAUUAAUCUCUCUCUCCUCUCUCUCUCUAGGAGCUGUUCUGCGUGUGCGGGGCUCUGAAGAGGGCAAAGCUGGUCAGAGCUGGGUUUGGGGAGGUGGUGUUUGUGAAGCAGGAAGACGCCGUCUCAGCCUACAGGAAAUACAACAAUCGAUGUCUGGAUGGUCAGCCAAUGAAAUGCAAUCUUCACAUGCAGGGGGGGAGCGUCAUCACUUCAGAUCAGCCAAUACUGCUGAGGCUGAGUGACACCCCGGGCCUCCCGAAGAAAGCCCCCUCGACCGCGGACCUUCGCCAGGGGGUGCCUCGCCCCCCCUCCCGGCCUCAGGGGGAGGUGGACCCCGAGACCAUCCUCCGAGCGCUGUUCAAAUCAUCAGGGACCCCGACAGCGAGCGCGCAGCCCACCGCCUUUCAAAUCAAGAUCUAACUAGGGGGGGGGCGUCGCUGAGUCGCACGCAGACCGGCAGAGACGUCACACUGCCUCCCAGUCUAAAUGUGAUCUCACCAGAGAGAGAGACAGACUGGGAGGGGUCUGGUUAUAAUGGAGCUGCCCCCCCCCCCACCCCUCCCAGACUCUCUCGCAGAGCCCAAUGAUGACAGAAUUAUCCAGGACUAUUAAACACGCCACAGAAGCGAAUUCAGAAACGCUGAAAGAAAUUUCAGGAAUUCAAUGGCAAACGUUUCCACUAGAAGUCUCUCUCAGCGUCUUCAGUGUAAAUUCAAUGGCAAACGUUUCCACUAGAAGUCUCUCUCAGCGUCUUCAGUGUAAAUUCAACGGCAAACGUUUCCACUAGAAGCCUCUCUCAGCGUCUUCAGUGUAAAUUCAACGGCAAACGUUUCCACUAGAAGUCUUUCUCAGCGUCUUCAGUGUAAAUUCAAUGGCAAACGUUUCCACUAGAAGUCUCUCUCAGCGUCUUCAGUGUAAAUUCAACGGCAAACGUUUCCACUAGAAGUCUCUCUCAGCGUCUUCAGUGUAAAUUCAAUGGCAAACGUUUCCACUAGAAGUCUCUCUCAGCGUCUUCAGUGUAAAUUCAAUGGCAAACGUUUCCUCUAGAAGUCUCUCUCAGCGUCUUCAGUGUAAAUUCAACGGCAAACGUUUCCACUAGAAGUCUCUCUCAGCGUCUUCAGUGUAAAUUCAACGGCAAACGUUUCCACUAGAAGUCUCUCUCAGCGUCUUCAGUGUAAAUUCAACGGCAAACGUUUCCACUAGAAGUCUUUGAAGACGCUGAGAGAGACUUCUAGUGGAAACGUUUGCCGUUGAAUUCAUGAAGUUUAUUUUCGUGUUUCUAAACAACUAACAAGGAAAUAAACAAACUAUCUGUAUUUAAUUUUGUUUGCUUCUCUAUCAUAACUCAAAUGCUUUUUAUUUUCUUUCCAAAAUACUAAAAUGUUUUUUUCAUGACUUUUAUAGUCAGCAAACAAGCCCCUCCCCCUUUUCCUGCAAGUUUGUUUAUGAUGUCAUUUCCUGAGGGGGGGGGGGGGGGGUUUCUCAGCUAUGGUUCAAUUAAAAACGAUCAAAAAAUAAAUCAUGUUAGAUUUGUUUUUUUUUUUGGUUUUGGUUCGUUAACUUUUAUUUGGUGAGGGGAAGAAAUGACGAGGAAAUUAAUUUUCUUUGUUUUAGAAAAAUAAAUGUGUUUCUAGAAA